UACGUAGGGUGCGAGCGUUGUCCGGAAUUACUGGGCGUAAAGAGCUCGUAGGUGGUUUGUCGCGUUGUUCGUGAAAUCUCACGGCUUAACUGUGAGCGUGCGGGCGAUACGGGCAGACUAGAGUACUGCAGGGGAGACUGGAAUUCCUGGUGUAGCGGUGGAAUGCGCAGAUAUCAGGAGGAACACCGGUGGCGAAGGCGGCAUCCUGGACCGGUAUUGACACUGAAAAGCGAAAGCCAGGGGAGCAAACGGG
This 253-nucleotide ribosomal RNA is filed under the name uncultured bacterium. RNAcentral's name for it is "partial 16S ribosomal RNA". It matches the Rfam family "Bacterial small subunit ribosomal RNA", at positions 524 to 776 of the family's 1533-position model. The record is from RNAcentral.